RNAcentral lists this small RNA (606 nucleotides) under Alteribacillus persepolensis. The record is from RNAcentral. Lineage: Bacteria; Bacillati; Bacillota; Bacilli; Caryophanales; Bacillaceae.
AAAUACAAAAUAUCGGAUGGUGCAGUAUUCUAGUCGAUUCUCCAUUCUCGAGGGCGGGCCUAAAAAUCCGCUGAAGGGCACAUCGAUGAAGUUCCUAGUACCGGCUCGAAGCGCCCAGCUUUGGGUCGAUAUUGGGAGUAAAGGUGUAAGGGCGAUCCACAACGGCAUGUGGGCGUGAACCCUUACACCGCGGAGGCCUCUUAUGGUGUCAGCAUAAGAGGUAAGACCUGCAGUGCGUGCCAAAGGGAAGGUAUGUAUGCAGCGUAGCCUGCCUUGAGUGGAGCAGCGGGGAAGGUAAUGUACAGGGUGAUUAUUUCCGUCGGCCAACGGAUUGUCUUCCUUUUACCUGAAACCUGCUCUGCAAAAGAGGCUAAGAGAGUGGCACGGAAUUGCCGAGGAAAACUCCUAGACUGUUCACAUUCAGACGAAUAAAGUGGAUUACAGUGUGUUCUAAGUGGUAAUCCAGUCUGAUGACCGGUGACGGCAUCAAGUCGUUUUUAAAGGGAAACCACCAAAGCGGCGACGUUUUGGCAGACGACUGGGAAAUCCUACUGGACCUAAGGCACAAUGUUUACACUUUAUUCGACCAUCCGAUAUCUUACAUAC